This is a non-coding RNA of Nicotiana tabacum (common tobacco), 1415 nucleotides long. The record is from RefSeq and is a predicted model, not a curated record. NCBI's taxonomy places the organism in Eukaryota, Viridiplantae, Streptophyta, Magnoliopsida, Solanales, Solanaceae.
AAAUACAUAAAAAAUUGAAUUGACCUAUAUGUCGUGUAUUCAUCUACUUCUAAAAUCAAACAAGUCAAUCAUAGUGGUACUAUUUUCCCGUUAACAAAUCAGAGGGGUCAAACAAGGGGGGGAAAAAAUCAAAUUGGGAGGUUCCUAACGGCGGCAUGGAAGUGAACGGGGACGACGGCGAACCGGCGGCGAAAUCUCCAGCUGAAGAAGAAAUGACUACAUUUUCUCGCCACAAUUUCGGAAAUUCUGAAAACACCGACGACGGCUUCUCCGUCACCAUCAUCGAGAACAUGAAAGAAGAGUACGGUUUAUUCAUAUGGCCUUGCGGUAUUAUUCUUGCCGAGUACAUAUGGCAACAAAAAUCACGCUUUACUGGCGCUACUGUGGUUGAGCUUGGGGCAGGGACCUCGUUGCCUGGGCUGGUUGCUGCAAAAGCGGGUGCAGAUGUGACGCUCACUGAUGAUUCAAGCAGAUUGGAGGUGCUCACUCAUAUGAGAAGACAGUGCGACUUAAAUGAUAUCAAGUGCAAGAUACAUGGACUUACAUGGGGUGUGUGGGAUGCACAAACCUUCUCUCUGUGCCCAAACAUUAUCCUUGGAGCUGAUGUCCUAUAUGACAGUUGUGCCUUUGAUGAUCUCUUUGCAACUGUGGCAUUUUUACUCCAGAAUUGUCCAUCAUCUGUCUUUAUUACUACAUAUCAUAACAGAAGUGGGCAUCACCUAAUUGGAUUCUUGAUGGUAAAAUGGGGCCUGAAGUGUGUUAAGCUUCUUGAUGGGUUCUCAUUCAUGCCAUCACACAAGAUGUCUAGUUUGAGUGGUAACAUUCAAUUGGCUGAGAUUAUUUUGGACACAGCAAACAGAGACGAUACAAAAUUGAUGUGACUGAACUCAAGUGUGAUGGUGCCAAAUACUAGGUCCAGCUUACAUAUUUUACUUCUUCCAUUGGGGGAAACUUACUAUCACCACUGCAUCUCUCGCAGCAAAGGCUAAAAUAUCUGCGCAUGAGACUAUGCUGGGGCAAAGAGCUUCAACUGCUUCAACUGCUUUCUUCACAUUAUCAAUGACAUUGAAUGCAUGCAAAGAAUUAGAGGGACCAUCUUUUUCUGUCAAGUUCCUCAACUUGUCUGACAGUGUAUUCGGCCCGAUGACAUGUUUUAGCAUAGUAAUUUGAACUACGGCAUUCCCUUGACUCUUGAGGGUAGAUUGCAAAAACAAGUAAUGAGCUCAACAUUGCAACAAAAUACGCCAUUGACUCUUUAUGCCUACUAGGAUCUCUAGUAAUUAUUUUAUAGCUGUCUAAUUACAUAAGAAUUGCAAAGGCUAGCUAUUUUUAGGAAGAAGACCAAAGUUGUGUUAUUGCUCUGGAAUUUGUUGAAUUAAAAUGAAUGGUUAAAACAGUGAAUUUGGUUGCAUGCA